AUGAACGCUGGCGGCGUGCCUAAUACAUGCAAGUCGAGCGAACAGACGAGGAGCUUGCUCCUCUGACGUUAGCGGCGGACGGGUGAGCAACACGUGGAUAACCUACCUAUAAGACUGGGAUAACUUCGGGAAACCGGAGCUAAUACCGGAUAACAUGUUGAACCGCAUGGUUCAACAGUGAAAGACGGUCUUGCUGUCACUUAUAGAUGGAUCCGCGCCGCAUUAGCUAGUUGGUAAGGUAACGGCUUACCAAGGCAACGAUACGUAGCCGACCUGAGAGGGUGAUCGGCCACACUGGAACUGAGACACGGUCCAGACUCCUACGGGAGGCAGCAGUAGGGAAUCUUCCGCAAAGGGCGAAAGCCUGACGGAGCAACGCCGCGUGAGUGAAGAAGGUCUUCGGAUCGUAAAACUCUGUUAUUAGGGAAGAACAAAUGUGUAAGUAACUAUGCACGUCUUGACGGUACCUAAUCAGAAAGCCACGGCUAACUACGUG
Molecule: ribosomal RNA, 496 nt
Filed under: uncultured bacterium
Lineage: Bacteria
Description: partial 16S ribosomal RNA
Rfam family: Bacterial small subunit ribosomal RNA
Source: RNAcentral